RNAcentral lists this long non-coding RNA (272 nucleotides) under Anser cygnoides (Swan goose). Its description in RNAcentral is "lncRNA (ENSACDG00005012222.1)". Lineage: Eukaryota; Metazoa; Chordata; Aves; Anseriformes; Anatidae. The record is from RNAcentral.
AUGGGGGCACAGCCUGAGCAGUUUGUGGAGAAGGGGACCAAGGCCUCUCAGCCUAUGCUGGGCUCCAGGCUCCAUCUUGAAGAUCUACGAGUGUUCUGGUGGAGAUGCUUCUGCAAAGCCCGGCCCCAUCCUGAAUCUGAGGACAUCAGACUGUGCUGUGAUGCUGGAGGAGAUUUGGCAGCCCUAUCAGCCCACCCUUGAUUUUGAAAUGUCUGUGCCAGAAGUUGCUACUGGCUGUUUUUCAGCUGUCUGAUUUUACUGUAGACAUCCAU